GAUGAAGAACGUAGCGAAAUGCGAUAAGUAGUGUGAAUUGCAGAAUUCAGUGAAUCAUCGAAUCUUUGAACGCACAUUACGCCCCUUGGUAUUCCAUGGGGCAUGCCUGUUCGAGCGUCAUUUGUACCUUCAAGCUUUGCUUGGUGUUGGGUGUUUGUCUCGCCUUUGCGUGUAGACUCGCCUUAAAAUAAUUGGCAGCCGGCGUAUUGAUUUCGGAGCGCAGUACAUCUCGCGCUUUGCACUCAUAACGACAGCGUCCAAAAGUACAUUUUACACUCUUGACCUCGGAUCAGGUAGGGAUACCCGCUGAACUUAAGCAUAUCAAUAAGCGGAGGA
Molecule: unclassified non-coding RNA, 336 nt
Filed under: soil metagenome
Description: partial contains 5.8S ribosomal RNA, internal transcribed spacer 2, and large subunit ribosomal RNA
Rfam family: 5.8S ribosomal RNA (bases 1-120)
Source: RNAcentral